RNAcentral lists this small nucleolar RNA (184 nucleotides) under Oryza sativa Indica Group (long-grained rice). RNAcentral describes it as "J14 small nucleolar RNA". Lineage: Eukaryota; Viridiplantae; Streptophyta; Magnoliopsida; Poales; Poaceae. The record is from RNAcentral.
AUUCAAAUCUGAUGAGUCAUAUUAUUAUCACGCAGAGGGAUCUUGAAUAUUUACGUUUUCGCCGAAAAAAAAGUUUAUUUUUUGCAUUUUAUCUGCCAAGAUUCGAUUUUUGAUUGAUUAGUUCAGCCCCUGCUGCUCCCAGUGACUGCUGCAUGUUUUAAAGUUUCAGCCUUGUCUGAAGAAU